GGGUGCCUGAAGCCGUCUGCUUCAGGUGACUGCGGCAGACAGCAAAAAGCCCCAAGCGAUUUUUUCAAUCAACUUGAGGCUCUCUGUUAUGCCUAGACAACAUGAUAGUAGCCUCCUGACUUCGGAGGUGCAAGAGAAUGUCACGAAAG
Molecule: antisense RNA, 149 nt
Filed under: Pluralibacter gergoviae
Lineage: Bacteria; Pseudomonadati; Pseudomonadota; Gammaproteobacteria; Enterobacterales; Enterobacteriaceae
Description: Enterobacter gergoviae sok antitoxin (CssrC)
Rfam family: sok antitoxin (CssrC)
About the family: Also identified in Shigella as CssrC.
Source: Rfam by way of RNAcentral